UACCGAGGAGCCAAGCGUUGUCCGGAUUUACUGGGCGUAAAGAGCACGCAGGCGGUCGUGCAAGUCGCGUGUGAAAGCCCCCGGCUCAACUGGGGAGGGUCACGCGAUACUGCUCGACUCGAAGGCAGGAGAGGGAAGUGGAAUUCCCGGUGUAGUGGUGAAAUGCGUAGAUAUCGGGAGGAACACCAGUGGCGAAGGCGACUUCCUGGCCUGUUCUUGACGCUGAGGCGCGAAAGCUAGGGUAGCAAACGGG
Molecule: ribosomal RNA, 253 nt
Filed under: uncultured bacterium
Lineage: Bacteria
Description: partial 16S ribosomal RNA
Rfam family: Bacterial small subunit ribosomal RNA
Source: RNAcentral